CGCGUAGGCGGCCUUUCAAGUCAGGUGUGAAAUCCCGGGGCUCAACCCCGGAAGAGCAUUUGAUACUGUGAGGCUUGAGUAUGGGAGAGGGAAGUGGAAUUCCUGGUGUAGCGGUGAAAUACGUAGAUAUCAGGAGGAACACCGGUGGCGAAGGCGGCUUCCUGGACCAAUACUGACGCUGAGGCGCGAAGGCGUGGGGAGCAAACA
RNAcentral lists this ribosomal RNA (207 nucleotides) under uncultured bacterium. Its description in RNAcentral is "partial 16S ribosomal RNA". It matches the Rfam family "Bacterial small subunit ribosomal RNA", at positions 568 to 774 of the family's 1533-position model. The record is from RNAcentral.